Molecule: ribosomal RNA, 367 nt
Filed under: uncultured eukaryote
Lineage: Eukaryota
Description: SSU rRNA
Rfam family: Eukaryotic small subunit ribosomal RNA
Source: RNAcentral
AGCUCCAAUAGCGUAUAUUAAAGUUGUUGCAGUUAAAAGCUCGUAGUUGAAGUUCUGGUUGUAUGGGCCUCAGCACUUGAUGCGACGGAACCAGCAAUCAUCUGCUUGCAAGCAUAUGUCCGGCCUUAAACAGCUGGCUAUGUAAGUAAGCAUUUUACCUUGAGAAAAACAGAGUGUUCCAGGCAGGUUUGUCCGGAAUGCAUUAGCAUGGAAUAAUAGAAUAUGACUGAAGUCUAUUUAUUGGUUUAAGGCUUUAGUAAUGAUUAAUAGGAACAAUCGGGGGCAUUAGUACUUGUCAGUCAGAGGUGAAAUUCUAGGAUUUGACAAAGACUAACAAAUGCGAAAGCAUUUGCCAAGGAUGUUUUCA